AUUAUUUAUAUAGCACCAUCAGAUUCCAUGGCCCUGUACAAAGGGUGGACUAACAGACAUUUAAUUGUAACCAGACAACUUGACGUACAGGAACAGAGAGGUGGAGGGCCUUGCUCAAUGAGCUUACAUUCUAGAGGGAGUGGGGUAUAGUGACACAAAGGGUAAAAGUAGGGGUAUGAAGUAAGAUGUUAGAAAAGUAUUCGCUGAAAGCUUAAUAAGUAGCUUUUGACAGUUGCAGGAGAGGAGUCAUGGAGGGUGGGGGAUGAAAACCUGCUAACAGUUUAAUUGAUAUGCUUUCUUGAAGAAGUGAGUUUUCAAUGAUUUUUUUUUUUUAAAAUGAGUGGAGACAGGGUGAAAUGCUUAAGGAAAAGGGAAGGGAGUUCCACAGCAGAGGUGCAGCCCUGGACUGACACUUCCUCACCACAACUUCAAAUGCCAUAAGUAGAAUCAGAUUUAAAAAAAAAAAAAAAAACACACCAGAAUUAAAUAUGAUUCUGCACCUGAUAUUUUGAAACUUGUCAACAAGACAGAAUGCAAAAGUUUGUUUUAAAUCACAGAUCAGAAAGUGAAUCAGAUAUUGAUUGUUACCUUGUCAGAUCCAAGUUUGAGCCUGAUGUAGCUACAAGUGAUAGGUGGUAAGAUGAUCAGCUGGCAUGGCGGUGUGAUAAAACAGUAUAGCACAGUGAAAAAAUAAAACUGGUUGAGAACUUUCUCUUGAGAAACUAUCAAGGGGCAAAAUAAAUUCAUAUCUUAUCAGGUGUCUUGACACACUUGGAUGUUAAGUAGUCAGCUCUGUAAG
This is a non-coding RNA of Pelobates cultripes (western spadefoot toad), 799 nucleotides long. The record is from the annotation of a GenBank genome assembly. NCBI's taxonomy places the organism in Eukaryota, Metazoa, Chordata, Amphibia, Anura, Pelobatidae.